Molecule: ribosomal RNA, 450 nt
Filed under: uncultured bacterium
Lineage: Bacteria
Description: partial 16S ribosomal RNA
Rfam family: Bacterial small subunit ribosomal RNA
Source: RNAcentral
GUGGGGAAUAUUGGACAAUGGGCGAAAGCCUGAUCCAGCCAUGCCGCGUGUGUGAAGAAGGUCUUCGGAUUGUAAAGCACUUUAAGUUGGGAGGAAGGGCAGUAAGUUAAUACCUUGCUGUUUUGACGUUACCGACAGAAUAAGCACCGGCUAACUUCGUGCCAGCAGCCGCGGUAAUACGAAGGGUGCAAGCGUUAAUCGGAAUUACUGGGCGUAAAGCGCGCGUAGGUGGUUUUGUAAGAUGGAGGUGAAAUCCCCGGGCUCAACCUGGGAACUGCCUCCAAAACUGCAUGACUAGAGUACGGUAGAGGGUAGUGGAAUUUCCUGUGUAGCGGUGAAAUGCGUAGAUAUAGGAAGGAACACCAGUGGCGAAGGCGACUACCUGGACUGAUACUGACACUGAGGUGCGAAAGCGUGGGGAGCAAACAGGAUUAGAUACCCGAGUAGUCC